AACCUUAUGGACCUGCGGGCGUAUACCUGCGGAGGGAUCAUUACCGAGUUUACAACUCCCAAACCCCUGUGAACAUACCUAUACGUUGCCUCGGCGGAUCAGCCCGCGCCCUGUAAAAAGGGACGGCCCGCCCGAGGACCCUAAACUCUGUUUUUAGUGGAACUUCUGAGUAAAACAAACAAAUAAAUCAAAACUUUCAGCAACGGAUCU
Molecule: unclassified non-coding RNA, 210 nt
Filed under: soil metagenome
Description: partial contains 5.8S ribosomal RNA, internal transcribed spacer 2, and large subunit ribosomal RNA
Source: RNAcentral